UACGUAGGGCGCAAGCGUUGUCCGGAAUUAUUGGGCGUAAAGAGCUCGUAGGCGGUCUGUCACGCGGCUGUGAAAACCCGGGGCUCAACCCCGGGCCUGCAGUCGAUACGGGCAGACUGGAGUCCGGCAGGGGAGACUGGAAUUCCCGGUGUAGCGGUGAAAUGCGCAGAUAUCGGGAGGAACACCGGUGGCGAAGGCGGGUCUCUGGGCCGGUACUGACGCUGAGGAGCGAAAGCG
Molecule: ribosomal RNA, 237 nt
Filed under: uncultured bacterium
Lineage: Bacteria
Description: partial 16S ribosomal RNA
Rfam family: Bacterial small subunit ribosomal RNA
Source: RNAcentral